Molecule: transfer RNA, 65 nt
Filed under: Eucinetus haemorrhoidalis
Lineage: Eukaryota; Metazoa; Arthropoda; Insecta; Coleoptera; Eucinetidae
Description: tRNA-Phe
Source: RNAcentral
ACUUAAAUAGCUUAUUUAGAGCAUAAUAGUGAAGUUAUUAAGGAAAUUAAAUUAAUUUUUAAGUA